UGGGGAAUAUUGGACAAUGGGCGAAAGCCUGAUCCAGCAAUGCCGCGUGUGUGAAGAAGGCCUUCGGGUUGGAAAGCACUUUUGGCCGGAAAGAAAUGGCUCUGGUUAAUACCUGGGGUCGAUGAAGGUACCGGAAGAAUAAGGACCGGCUAACUACGUGCCAGCAGCCGCGGUAAUACGGAGGGUCCAAGCGUUAAACGGAAUGACUGGGAGUAAAGCGUGCGCAGGCGGUUGUGAAAGCCCUAUGUGAAAUCCCCGAGCUUAACUUGGGAAUUGCGUUGGAGACUGCACGGCUAGAGUGUGGCAGAGGGGGGUAGAAUGCCACGUGUAGCAGUGAAAUGCGUAGAGAUGUGGAGGAAUACCGAUGGCGAAGGCAGCCCCCUGGGAUAACACUGACGCUCAUGCACGAAAGCGUGGGGAGCAAACAGG
RNAcentral lists this ribosomal RNA (429 nucleotides) under Acidobacteriota bacterium. RNAcentral describes it as "Acidobacteria bacterium partial 16S ribosomal RNA". It matches the Rfam family "Bacterial small subunit ribosomal RNA", at positions 355 to 776 of the family's 1533-position model. Lineage: Bacteria; Pseudomonadati; Acidobacteriota. The record is from RNAcentral.